AAUGUCCAUACUGUUCUGCAAAUACCCCCAAGGGAAGUGUCAUUUAUACAAACCAAUGCCUGUAAAGUAUUUGAAUUUUUACAUCUCAGGGGAGAAACCUUCAAUUCAUUUGAAGCAAAUCUUAACCCACAGAAUGUAGUGCAUAACUGGUGGUUCCUGGCAGUAACUUCACAUUGGCAUAAAGCCAAAUGUCCAGUUGUGUCAACUUAAAAAUAUUUUAUGUUGGUACAGGUUGGGACUUGGGGUUUCUCCAAAGGCUGUUGCAAAGGGUUUCAGAUGCAUUUUUCAGCAGUCGAGGCAUUUAGUAUUAUCUUGACCAUCCCGAUGUCCAUUGGGAUAGAGUCUAUACUGCCGAACCACUAGAAGGAAUAAAUGAUGCUUCCAAGCAAGAGCUUGUGCUUGGAGGAGAAGUUUUUAAGUGGGGUGGAAAUAGCUGAUACAUCAGUUGUUCAGCAAACGUUAUGACCUUAAGCUGCAGCAGCUGCAGGGUGCUUGUGGGGCAGGAGAGAUGACAUAUACCACAACUGCAUCACUCCGGUUGCAAUACUUCGAAUGUCUCUUAAAAAUAGGUGUGGGCUUCAAGCCACCCCAAUGACCAGCAAGAAUGCCCGGAGCCCCCCAAUCGUCCAGGGUCAUGCUUUGAUCGAUAAGAUUCCCUAUCGGGAGACUAGGCGAGUUUAAACAUCUCGGGCUGUGUUUUGUACAUGGUACUCAAAAGAAUGCAAGUAAAUGGAAUCAUCCUUUCUUGAGUCCAGCAUACUGUAUGGUAAUUAUAUGCUGUUGAAUUGUUAUCCCAUAUGGAUGGGUUUGGAAUCCUGGCCCCUUGGCUUGUAAGAGUUAAGAUCAGUAAUGACUGUGAAGUCAAAUGAAUAAAAAAUAUGUCACUGGUGAUGUGGUAUUGAUGAUGUUAAUACUGUUUUUGUAAUUUUACCUGGAAUAAAUAAAUCGAUGUAUUCAGUUUUA
Juglans microcarpa x Juglans regia is the source of this 963-nucleotide long non-coding RNA. RefSeq lists it as uncharacterized. The record is from RefSeq and is a predicted model, not a curated record. Lineage: Eukaryota; Viridiplantae; Streptophyta; Magnoliopsida; Fagales; Juglandaceae. The transcript has 2 exons.